CAAACGGUCCUCUUUAGGACCACUAAUCUUCAUGAAACAAACUUUUU
This is a non-coding RNA of Dracunculus medinensis (Guinea worm), 47 nucleotides long. The record is from Rfam. NCBI's taxonomy places the organism in Eukaryota, Metazoa, Nematoda, Chromadorea, Rhabditida, Dracunculidae.